GGCCAGGCAGGGAGAGCCUGGAAAGAGCCCUGACUAAGAUGGAAUAGCAUGCAGAAGUUUGUGCUGUGAAGAACUGCCCCUAAGAAAUAUCACUGAGAAGACCACAGGGAGCAGGAUUGGUUUCAGGUAUAAACCAGAAAAAGUUCUAAUCAUAUUUGGUGCCAGUGAGGCUUUCCUGGUGGGCAGCACAGCUGCAUCCCGUGUUCCCACCCUCAGGUACGGAUGUUGUGCCACAGGACUCACGGAAGUAGUGUCCACUGCGGAUCUGCAUUGAGAGAAUUUUAAACCUUAAAGGCAGAGCUUUUAAAAGAUUGAGUGUUUCUAUGACAAUAAAGACAUGAACUUUGAAGACUUAUAGCUAAAAUAACAAGAUGAUGAUGAAACCAUAGUUGUCACCAAAAGGAAGAGCAAAUUCCAAGUACUUUUUGCUUUCUUGAAAUUUGUCAUCUUUUUGUCAAUGAAGCUGCCAGAAGAAACUAAACAAGUGUAUUGGGAUGCACUGAGCAGUUUAAAGUCCAUCAAGUUUCUCAAGAGAAAAUGACUUUCUUACUCUGCUGGAGAGUUUACAAGCAGUAUUAAAGACAUGGAGGGAAGAGAUGAAGUAGGACCCAAGAUUAAAUGUGACCAGGAUUUGGAACCAGUAUUGAAGAAAUGGGAUGGAAAUAAGCAGAGAAGUACAUAGAGCCACAACCUGAAGGCCAGUUCCACAUAAACCAAAUGUAAAUAAAAGAUAAGUUUCUGUCUGUGGAUUGGCUACAGGGGAAGGUACAAGGAAGCAAGGAAGAUCAAUGUGUGUACUUUGUGUACUAUGGUGUACAGAAUGAUAUCCAGGACCGGUACAUGUGGCAGGAUAUUCUGAUACAAACCUCAGCUCUAUCAAGACUGCAAGAAAUGAUGCACAUUGAGAAAUCCCUGUGGCUCAGGUGCACCUACCUUGGGGACAUAGCUGAAAUAUAAUAGUUACAAUAGUUCUUCCCUUUGCCUCAGGUACCCAAACCCCUGGAUGCAGCAAGGAAUUUAGAUUUAUAUGGUGUCAGAUCCCAGCAAAGAGAAAUCAGGAACUGGUUCAGACUCCUUCCUAUUUUGAAGCUAAAAAAUUAUGGUCCAGAGCACUCAGAGGCUUGGGCUUCAUUCAACUCCCUUAUCAGAAACUCCUUAACUGUUUCUGUCAUCUCUGAAUGGGGAAUAAAACUGAUCCUAUUAUUUGGUAUUUCUAGGUCAAUAUCUGAUCCUCUGCUGGGAAAAACUGAAAUCCACGGACACUUAAUGCUAGCAGACAAUCUUAAUUUUUCUCCUUCAGCUACAAGGAAAAAUAUGGAAAACCCCAUAGGGAGAACAAGAAAAGUUAAGCAAUCCAUUUGUGAAGCUGGGAUGUGGUAGGCAGAAAGGCUGCUGGAGAGCCUGGGAAGUCACUGGUUCCAGAUGCCUUGCUCUCUCUGUGUGCCAGCAGCAAGUGUAGGAGUACUUCGGGCUAAUCUGGACUACUGUGGGGUUCUUUUACCCCUUUGGAGUGUGUGGUUUCUUCCAGUCUGUUGUGCCAGCUGCCACAAGGGCUGUAGCUGGAGGAGAAUGCCUCUGACACCAGCCUGCCUUCAGCAGCAAACCCCUGCCUCUGUCCCAGGGCAGCAUCACAGUGCCAGGGCUGGCAGAUCCAGGAGAAACUCCCAUGCCAGCCCCUCUCAAGCAUGAACUGCAAUAACUUUUAUUCCUGCAAGUCUGCAUGACGCCCAUAAUUUAUUCAUCCCAAGAUGUAUUCAUCCAUCCAUUAUUUAUUUGCAUUUGUUUUACUACUAUCAUUACAAUUUCAUAAACUGAAGCCUAGAGAAGGACAUGGGAAGUUAAAGGCAGAGGUAGUUGCUGGACAAAGACCCUGGGCUUGCUUCUCCUUGGUUUCUGGCUGCCUUCAGGGGUUGUGUGAAGACAUAACACAGAGUAAGCAAAACAUCUCCUCUCUCUGUUCUCUUCAGCAGUUUGGUGGAAAUCCUUUCGGCCCCUAAAUUCCUCUCUGCAGUCCUUUAUACUCUGUGGAUAUGGUGAGGACACUGGAAUGUAGUGACAUGGUAGUCAGUGCUGCCAUGUAUGAAAGCCAAGAGAAAGGCAGGGAUAGAUGGGGAAGGAAUGUUGGUGCUGCAGGUUACAUCUUCCCUCCUGAGUGCAUUCUGAGGGAGCAGGUUUCUGUUUCUCUGAGCAGGAGGAAUGAACUGCCCUAAGGUCUACUUACACAAUAACCAUAUUUAGGUUUACUAUUUCUGCCCAUGAUGAAGUGUGGGGAUUCCGAGGGAAGUGGGAGAUUGUGUUGAAAGGAGUGGGUGGAAAAUCCUGUGUAAAACAUUCCCUCCCUGGCGCCCAAAACUUCCUAAGGAAUCAUUUUAAGCCUUUUCAAUCAGCCAGAUAUUCACUUCAUGCUACAAAAUCACAAAUUUGUUAUUCAAUUUAUAGGAGAACUAAACUUUGAAAAAUAAAGCAAAAGAAUUGGUAUUUCACUUCUAUAGAGGAGAAAAAACAAUUGCCAUAAAAUUAGAUGGCGGCGUAUAUACCUUUUAUGUAAAUCAGGAUGAGAGGCUAAGUAAAAAUUCCUUAGCAUGAAAAGUGGACUGUUUCAGAUUAUAUAUGUUCUGGAUUUUUAAAGGACAACUUCUCUGUAGCUUUGUGUAAAACAACUGCAGAUGUUGAAAAACAUGAAUCCAACAAAAUCAAAUCAAGGUCUUAGAGAUGAAAAUUUAAUCAGGAAAAAGUCACUAAAUAAUACAUGUUAAUGCCAUAGAUAUUUGAACAUUUGUUGCGCAAUAUAUGAUACACAGAGUUGUUCUUACAACAGAAGGUUAUAUAUUCUGAGGGGCUUUCUGCACAUAAGCACAGAUGAGAAGAACAGCUGUGAGAUGGAGGAGCAAAAGUUGGCAUCCCCUGUUCUCUCCUCAAUAACUGUAGGAAGUGUGUUUUGCUGAUUGCUAGGCAUGGAUGAACACACAGGAUCUAGGUCCAGCAGAUCUGGGGCAUUGUCUGUGUAACCAAGUGUAACCAAGAAGAAAAUGAAAUUUUAUACACUAUUCUUUUUCUUGGGUAUCCUUACUGUAUUAUUUUUAUUAGAUUUUAAGGGUUCCCUGGUUAGCUCUGAUUGCAUUAACAACCUUAUUUCCCCAUUAUUGUCAAACAAAAGCACUAUAUUAUCUCUUAAGCUGGGGUAAAAGCUAUGGCCAAGGAUGCACCAUUAGAGAUCAGAAAUGUUAAGUGGCAACAGUUUCCUUAUUCUGGACUUGAAGGAUGCAGAGCAAAUAUACCCAACUGACAUUUGGUUUGGAAAUAUUAUCCCAAAAUAAUGUUCUCUCUCUGGGUAGUAUGCACAUAUUGGAACUUUAUGGUAUUUGUAAAAUACUUGCAAUAAUUCUGCACUAGAACAGUGUAAAUCUGAGUCAGUUUCAUGUGCAUCAUAACACAGAAUGUAGUGGGACUUAAAAUAUUUAUAGUAUUGUGCUGUGUGAUAUCUUAAUGCCAUGCCUGCAUUUACAUUUCAGUUAAUGUUAUCCUGCCCUUAGGGAAAUCUCUUUUGCCCAAGAAUGCACUCUCUCUAUAACAAAUAGGAUCAAAAAAUCUCAAAAAAGAAUUGAACAGCAGUAACACUUACAGAAGGAGAAAUAUGUGAAUUCACCAUUAUCAAGAGUAGUGACCUAGAGAAGCAUUUUUGCACUUGAUUAAAACCAUUAUUAAACACUUGGACUAUAUAUGGUAGCAAAGCUUUAAACGAAAAAUGAGCACAGUAUAUAUUGUAUAGUGUGCUCCAUUGUUAAAACUUUCUAUGCAUUGGAAGUGUCUGAUGUGUCCAUAACAAUAUCUCAAGGCAUCUGAUCCCCUGUGGUUCAGAUUCCUGUUAGAAGGUCUCUGACCAUCUCCUGUGUUGGAAGACUCAAACAGUUAAGGGGAACCUGGACAAUUUAUAAUUCUUCAGAAGUGCCUCUUUUACAUCAUUUGAAAGAAAUUGGAGACAUAUCACCUCCAAGUA
Zonotrichia leucophrys gambelii is the source of this 3997-nucleotide long non-coding RNA. RefSeq lists it as uncharacterized. NCBI's taxonomy places the organism in Eukaryota, Metazoa, Chordata, Aves, Passeriformes, Passerellidae. The record is from RefSeq and is a predicted model, not a curated record. The transcript is spliced from 5 exons.